UUCUGCCUGGAGCCUUAUUGGAAUC
This 25-nucleotide non-coding RNA is filed under the name Rattus norvegicus (Norway rat). The record is from RNAcentral. Lineage: Eukaryota; Metazoa; Chordata; Mammalia; Rodentia; Muridae.